UACGUAGGGGGCCAGCGUUGUUCGGAAUUACUGGGUGUAAAGGGUUCGUAGGCGGUGCGGCAAGUUGGGAGUGAAAUCUCUGGGCUUAACCCAGAGGCUGCUUUCAAAACUGCUGUGCUUGAGUGUGAGAGAGGCUCGUGGAAUUGCAGGUGUAGCGGUGAAAUGCGUAGAUAUCUGGAGGAACACCGGUGGCGAAGGCGGCAUCCUGGACCAACACUGACGCUGAGUGAGCGAAAGCCAGGGGAGCAAACGGG
Molecule: ribosomal RNA, 254 nt
Filed under: uncultured bacterium
Lineage: Bacteria
Description: partial 16S ribosomal RNA
Rfam family: Bacterial small subunit ribosomal RNA
Source: RNAcentral